This 153-nucleotide small nuclear RNA is filed under the name Mustela putorius furo (domestic ferret). Its description in RNAcentral is "U1 spliceosomal RNA (ENSMPUG00000022247.1)". It matches the Rfam family "U1 spliceosomal RNA". Rfam says of the family: U1 is a small nuclear RNA (snRNA) component of the spliceosome (involved in pre-mRNA splicing). Its 5' end forms complementary base pairs with the 5' splice junction, thus defining the 5' donor site of an intron. Lineage: Eukaryota; Metazoa; Chordata; Mammalia; Carnivora; Mustelidae. The record is from RNAcentral.
ACACUUACCCAGCAGGGGAGACGCUGUGAGGCUGAAGCUGGCUUUCCCGGGGCAAGGCCUCUCCGUGGCCCUCCGGGUGAGUGGAGCCCUGCGAUUUCCCCAAACGCAGGAAGCUCCGCUGCGUCAUUUGUGGUGGGAGGGAACGCAUCCCAC